RNAcentral lists this ribosomal RNA (450 nucleotides) under uncultured bacterium. RNAcentral's name for it is "partial 16S ribosomal RNA". It matches the Rfam family "Bacterial small subunit ribosomal RNA", at positions 354 to 796 of the family's 1533-position model. The record is from RNAcentral.
GUGGGGAAUUUUGGACAAUGGGCGCAAGCCUGAUCCAGCAAUGCCGCGUGCAGGAAGAAGGCCUUCGGGUUGUAAACUGCUUUUGUACGGAACGAAACGGCUCUGGUUAAUACCCGGGGCUAAUGACGGUACCGUAAGAAUAAGCACCGGCUAACUACGUGCCAGCAGCCGCGGUAAUACGUAGGGUGCAAGCGUUAAUCGGAAUUACUGGGCGUAAAGCGUGCGCAGGCGGUCGUGUAAGACAGGCGUGAAAUCCCCGGGCUCAACCUGGGAAUUGCGCUUGUGACUGCACGGCUGGAGUGCGGCAGAGGGGGAAGGAAUUCCGCGUGUAGCAGUGAAAUGCGUAGAUAUGCGGAGGAACACCGAUGGCGAAGGCAAUCCCCUGGGCCUGCACUGACGCUCAUGCACGAAAGCGUGGGGAGCAAACAGGAUUAGAAAACCUGGUAGUCC